AAUCAAGUAAGCUGAGGCGCACUCGAGCUAGGACCUGCACCGAAAGGGCGCAUUAGGCAUGAGUACGGUCCACUUGUACUCAUUAGGUAUCAUAGGCUGACUAAGCAAAGUAGUAAAUAAGGCAUACAAAAUAUACACUAAGGGCACGUCACCUGCAAUCAGAAAAUGUCCCACAAUGGUAGCCCACACCACUUGCACUAACA
RNAcentral lists this long non-coding RNA (203 nucleotides) under Capsicum annuum. Its description in RNAcentral is "long non-coding RNA (CANN_LNC002858)". The record is from RNAcentral. Lineage: Eukaryota; Viridiplantae; Streptophyta; Magnoliopsida; Solanales; Solanaceae.